This is a non-coding RNA of Ceratotherium simum simum (southern white rhinoceros), 866 nucleotides long. Lineage: Eukaryota; Metazoa; Chordata; Mammalia; Perissodactyla; Rhinocerotidae. The record is from RefSeq and is a predicted model, not a curated record.
CGGGAAGGCCCGCCGAGGCUGCCCAGCCGGAGGCCGCCGGCCCGAUGGAGGAGAUGGAGGAAGAGCUCAAGUGCCCGGUGUGCGGCUCCUUCUACCGCGAGCCCAUCCUGCUGCCCUGCUCGCACAACCUGUGCCAGGCGUGCGCCCGCAACAUCCUGGUGCAGACGCCCGAGGCCGAGUCCCCGCGCAGCCGGCGCGCCUCGGGCUCCGGCGCCUCCGACUACGACUACCUGGACCUGGACAAGAUGAGCCUCUACAGCGAGGCGGACAGCGGCUACGGCUCCUACGGCGGCUUCGCCAGCGCGCCCACCACGCCGAGCCAGAAGUCCCCCAACGGCGUGCGCGUCUUCCCGCCCGCCGUGCCGCCGCCCGCCGCCCACCUGUCGCCCGCGCUGGCCCCGGUGCCCCGCAACUCGUGCAUCACCUGCCCGCAGUGCCACCGCAGCCUGGUGCUGGACGACCGGGGGCUGCGCGGCUUCCCCAAGAACCGCGUGCUGGAGGGCGUCAUCGACCGCUACCAGCAGAGCAAGGCCGCGGCGCUCAAGUGCCAGCUCUGCGAGAAGGCGCCCAAGGAGGCCACCGUCAUGUGCGAGCAGUGCGACGUCUUCUACUGCGACCCGUGCCGCCUGCGCUGCCACCCGCCGCGCGGGCCGUUGGCCAAGCACCGGCUGGUGCCCCCGGCGCAGGGCCGCGUGAGCCGGCGGCUGAGCCCGCGCAAGGUGUCCACCUGCACGGACCACGAGCUGGAGAACCUCAGCAUGUACUGCGUGCAGUGCAAGGUGCCGGUGUGCUACCAGUGCCUGGAGGAGGGCAAGCACUCCAGCCACGAGGUCAAGGCUCUGGGGGCCAUGUGGAAGCUGCACAAG